GGCUGAUCCCGCAGAAGCGGAGUCUCCAGCACACACCUUUUCUGACAGAGGAGGAGGAAUGGAGGACACAGAGUCGACGAAAGGCACUUGGAGGAUGUUAACGUUGUACGGCAUGCUGGGAGAAGACAGGCAUGACCGAGGAGAGAAGCCUGAGGGAGUUCGUGGAGAGCAGAGGGAGGAAGAUGAUGAAGAAGAUGAGGAUGAUGAGGAAGAGGUGGAAGCAGCGCUAUCUUGCCGGCUCAGACCACAUCGCCUUUUUCUACAUUGCUGCGACCACUGCUGGCGUGAGAACUGUCUGCGGAUCUCAUUCUUUUCAGCUCUUUGUAAGAAUGACCGAUGCCCAGCUGCUCCAAAGUGUGUCUGGGAAACCUUAAGGCAGAUUUAAUCUGGAAGAGAAAAUGUUGUGAUUGUGAUUCCCAGAGUCUCGCAUAAUAGAUACUGUAGACUCCUCCUCUCCAUAUUUAAAACUAGUGUUGCAAAAACAUUUGCAUUUUCAAAAUUUCCAUCCCAUUUAAAAGCAAAAUAAGGGGAUGCAAUUCGAAGGGAGAUCACUGGGAAUAUGUUAAUAUGAUCGGUUUUCAAUUAAUGUCAGUUUACUACAGUUUUGGAUGAUUUACACAAAAUUUCAAGCUAACUCCCGUGUCCAGUUUCUAAAAUACCUAAGCUAAAGUUCCAAUUCUAAAUUAAAUCUAAUAAGAAAUAUCUGCCUUUCUCAUUCUUUUCUGAUCAAUCUUAUAAUUAGGGUUGGUUAAGACAAGAAAAUUGCUCAAAAGCAAGUAAUGUAAACAAUUUCCCGAGCAAAAACUUAGUAUUUGUGUUCCACUUAGUCGAAAUGAGAUGAGCUCAUGAAUGGCUCAUGAAUUUACACUCGAGGUAGUGGGGACUGUAACUAUAGUAAAUUAAAUACUCACUUAAACUGAAAGUAACUGGUAGAAAUGAACACAAUCUGUUACCCUAGACUGCACCAAUAACUAUAACUACUAGAAGUGACUGAAUUAUAAUCAUGUAGCUACUUCUUCUACUGCCUGACCUUGUGCCUAUCAAUGGCGCUGAGGAAGUCCAGGUCUGUCUGGUCUGAUAUGCCCCCAUGAACAAUAAGGACUUUCCCGUCUAUCACUGUGGCGACAGGCAGAAGGCUGAAGACAUCCUGAAAGAGCUGCAGGAUCUCACGCCCAUUACUCUGUACAUAAGAAACAUUAACAUGUUUAAUUCUAGAGCUCUGGCCAACUAGUUUACAUUAUUUUACCAUACCUUGUACUUCUGCAUGACUUCUUUUGUAAAGCCAUACCUGGAAAUAAAAGAAAA
Molecule: long non-coding RNA, 1305 nt
Organism: Dunckerocampus dactyliophorus (ringed pipefish)
Lineage: Eukaryota; Metazoa; Chordata; Actinopteri; Syngnathiformes; Syngnathidae
Exons: 3
Source: RefSeq, a predicted model, not a curated record